GAUGAACGCUGGCGGCGUGCCUAAUACAUGCAAGUCGAGCGAACAGACGAGGAGCUUGCUCCUCUGACGUUAGCGGCGGACGGGUGAGUAACACGUGGAUAACCUACCUAUAAGACUGGGAUAACUUCGGGAAACCGGAGCUAAUACCGGAUAAUAUAUUGAACCGCAUGGUUCAAUAGUGAAAGACGGUUUUGCUGUCACUUAUAGAUGGAUCCGCGCCGCAUUAGCUAGUUGGUAAGGUAACGGCUUACCAAGGCGACGAUGCGUAGCCGACCUGAGAGGGUGGUCGGGCAAAAUGGAACUGAGAAAAGGGCCAGACUCCUAAGGGAGGCAGCAGUAGGGAAACUUCCGCAAAGGGCGAAAGCCUUAAGGAGCAAAGGCGCGUGAGUGAUGAAGGUCUUCGGAACGGAAAACUCUGUUAAUAGGGAAGAAAAAAUGGGUAAAGAACUAUGCAAGUCUUGAAGGUACCUAAUCAGAAAGCCACGGGUAAAUAAGUG
This 497-nucleotide ribosomal RNA is filed under the name uncultured bacterium. RNAcentral's name for it is "partial 16S ribosomal RNA". It matches the Rfam family "Bacterial small subunit ribosomal RNA", at positions 28 to 507 of the family's 1533-position model. The record is from RNAcentral.